AUCUGAAAGGCAGGAUGUGGCCUCUAAGAACCCGCUCUUACUUCUAAAAGGACAGGUCCUAAGAGACUGCAUCAAGCCUUCAGCUCACAAAGA
Non-coding RNA from Homo sapiens (human), 93 nucleotides. NCBI's taxonomy places the organism in Eukaryota, Metazoa, Chordata, Mammalia, Primates, Hominidae. The record is from RefSeq and is marked provisional.